CACCGCCGCGGGAAUACGGAGGGUGCAAGCGUUAUCCGGAUUUAUUGGGUUUAAAGGGUCCGUAGGCGGAUCUGUAAGUCAGUGGUGAAAUCUCACAGCUUAACUGUGAAACUGCCAUUGAUACUGCAGGUCUUGAGUAAAUUUGAAGUGGCUGGAAUAAGUAGUGUAGCGGUGAAAUGCAUAGAUAUUACUUAGAACACCAAUUGCGAAGGCAGGUCACUAAGAUUUAACUGACGCUGAUGGACGAAAGCGUGGGGAGCGAACAGGAUUAGAUACCCCUGUAGUCCCUGUCUCUUAUACA
RNAcentral lists this ribosomal RNA (301 nucleotides) under uncultured bacterium. RNAcentral describes it as "partial 16S ribosomal RNA". It matches the Rfam family "Bacterial small subunit ribosomal RNA", at positions 510 to 808 of the family's 1533-position model. The record is from RNAcentral.